CUUAACCUUCGGGAGGGCGCUUACCACUUUGUGAUUCAUGACUGGGGUGAAGUCGUAACAAGGUAACCGUAGGGGAACCUGCGGUUGGAUCACCUCCUUA
Molecule: ribosomal RNA, 100 nt
Filed under: Citrobacter freundii
Lineage: Bacteria; Pseudomonadati; Pseudomonadota; Gammaproteobacteria; Enterobacterales; Enterobacteriaceae
Also listed under: 19 other names
Description: partial 16S ribosomal RNA
Rfam family: Bacterial small subunit ribosomal RNA
Source: RNAcentral